AGAAACUUGUCAAAAACUAUUCACAGUUCGUUUCAUUCCCUAUAUAAACAUGGCAAGAAAGGGAUAUACUAAAGAGGUUGAAGUUGAUGAUGAUCAGGCAGGGGCCAAGGCUGAUGGGCAGGAUGAGCCAGCUGAGGUUCAUCCUGUUUUAAUGGUAACAGACUACUCUCUCGCUCCCCCUCACACUCAUC
Ipomoea triloba (trilobed morning glory) is the source of this 191-nucleotide long non-coding RNA. RefSeq lists it as uncharacterized. NCBI's taxonomy places the organism in Eukaryota, Viridiplantae, Streptophyta, Magnoliopsida, Solanales, Convolvulaceae. The record is from RefSeq and is a predicted model, not a curated record. The transcript is spliced from 3 exons.